ACAUAUUGUUAUGCAAAUGUAUGAACGUUUUAAUUUAAUAGUACAAUUUUCUUUGUAUGGAUUAAUAUUCAAUUCGCUAUGAGUGAACUUUCUAUUUUUAUGGAGCAUUGUCGAAUUUAUCAUUUUGAUCCAUUUUUAUCUUUUUCUUAUUAGAACAUUCCUUGUUUCAUCAGUACGCGGAACCUUAACACUUACGCAUUACUCAUGCCAUUACAUUUAAAUGCAAAAUGAUAAUAUGGUUUCAAUGGAGCGCUUUUUGAUUUUCAACGGAACAUUUUUAGUUUGUUAUGGUCGCAAACAACAUUUUGCUAAUUUUAUCUUUAUCACAAGAUAAGAUAAGGAACACAGUAUCGACACUUUCUCUGCACUUGCUUAGUUCUUUGAUUGGCUUCGAUUCGAACAGCUGUGUUAUUGGUAGAAGUAACAGAAUUAUUUCACGAAAUGUCGAAUUUGAAUACAACCAAUAACGCAAAUCGCGUAAGUCGCCGUGUAACAACGACAUCCGUUACGCGCACACAUUCGAUUUGUACUACUUCCGAAAGCAGCUUCAGCAGAAAUAGUUCCGUAAACCGUUCGCUGCAACCAACAACGUCAUGGUACUCGCCUGCGGGAAAUGUGCGAGCUCCGCCUGGAAGAAAUCAGAUGUUGACGAAUGGUUCCAUUGGAGAUGCUAAGCGAUUUAGUUACAAUCCUUCUGGCAGUUCUGCAAGUUUUGUUCCGAAUGACUCAUUCGGAAACGCAAGCGGUAUUUCAUCUCCAAGCUCCACAUCACCACCUGUGAUUCCCACACCACGGUCCUCGAAUUGCGAACUGGAGCGAUACGACCUUAGUAAGCCAGCAUGCGUUGCAAUAUUUCAUCACGAAUUUAAAAACAAUCCAGCAAUGUUUCGAGAAGGGAGUAAGCGUGAUUAUGAAUUACUGUUAAAUUUCUUUGGAGAACUUAAUGCAAACGUCAAAUACAGAUGUGAGGACUACAAGGCUAAAAAGGUUAAAGAAACUGUAAAGAAAAUUCGAAACAAGAAUUUUGACAAAUAUUCUUGCUUGAUCGUCAUCAUCAUGAGCCAUGGAGAAGCUAAGGACCAAAUCUGGGCACUAGACAAAUGCUACAACUUAGAAGCCGAUGUAGUCGACCGGAUUCGCGAGAAUAGAUCGUUGCGAGCGAAACCGAAACUUUUCAUCGUGCAGGCCUGUAAAGGUGAAGCUAUGAUGGAGCCUGAUUAUACUCCAACAGCACCCAGCGCAAUGAACAUAAUGAAAUGCUAUAGCACUUAUGACGUUUCGUUACAGGUACCGUAUCAUUUAGAGAUACCAAUGAAGGAUCGUUUUUCAUUCAGACUUUGAUUAAACUUAUAAAAGAAAACCCAUUAAAGGAUAUAAGUCACGUUUUAGUCUUGUUGAGGAAUAAAUUCAUCACCGGAAGAAUUAUGCAGGCUCCAACUGACACAUCGACCUUAACAAAGGCGUUCUACUUCGCAGAUUUGAAGAAACCCUAACCAGACGUAAAAAAAGAUCCUCAAUGCAUGCAUGACAUUGGAGGUCUUGUUGCAAAUGGCAAAGUAUUCUUCGACGAACACGUAUAGUAGAAAAUUGACUUACUGUACACCUAAGUGGCAUGAUACAUGAAUGAGAUUUUGAAAACAAAUGUAGGCAAAUUUGUCAGCAUGUGAUUUUAGUGAAGUAAUACUCAAUACAAUACAUUUUGAUAUUAUUUAGGUUUGAUGACGGCGAUGGUAUAAUGAAGUGACAGAGAGAAUUUACAAGAGCACAAAUCCAGAGAACCAAAUGAUUGCAUGUAUUUGGCAUUAGGGUCCUUUUUGACCCAAACCGUACACUACGUCAGCGAGCUGCUGCCAACGUGAUGCAAAAGGAAGUUUAGAAGAUGAUUGAAUGUUUUCUUGCCAGUCGGUGAUCAAUCAAUCAAGAUAUUAGGGCUACUCGUCAAAUAAUUAUUGAGAUUUAUGCUCUUCAAAAUUCGAGCUUCAUCUUCGUUACUGAAAUGUAUUGAAAUAACUUCAUGAGAUUUUGGAUCCUCUAGCGUAGUGAUACACUUUAUUACACGAAAUGGUACCAAAUUAGUGACUGAUUGAGAUUUUCAUGACUUUUUUUCUAAUGAGACAAUUUACGUGUAGUUUUUUUUAUUUGUUUUUUUUCUGUCUAUUCUGGUUUUUUUUAAAUUUUCGAAAACGAUAUUGUUGUCUAUUUUGUACUCCUUAAAUUAGUAAGCAAAAUAAAGUUCCAGGAACCAA
This is an RNA transcript of Aedes albopictus (Asian tiger mosquito), 2246 nucleotides long. It is a transcript of the gene named caspase-3-like, with no coding region annotated. The transcript is spliced from 5 exons. Lineage: Eukaryota; Metazoa; Arthropoda; Insecta; Diptera; Culicidae. The record is from RefSeq and is a predicted model, not a curated record.